RNAcentral lists this ribosomal RNA (612 nucleotides) under Amanita griseoturcosa. Its description in RNAcentral is "eukaryotic LSU rRNA". It matches the Rfam family "Eukaryotic large subunit ribosomal RNA", at positions 66 to 648 of the family's 3401-position model. The record is from RNAcentral. Lineage: Eukaryota; Fungi; Basidiomycota; Agaricomycetes; Agaricales; Amanitaceae.
UAACAAGGAUUCCCCUAGUAACUGCGAGUGAAGCGGGAUAAGCUCAAAUUUAAAAUCUGACGGUCUUUUGCCGUCCGAAUUGUAACCUAGAGAAGUGUUGCCCGCGCUGGACCAUGUAUAAGUCUCCUGGGAUGGAGUGUCAGAGAGGGUGAGAAUCCCGUUUUUGACAUGGACUACCAGUGCAUUGUGGUAUACUCUCAAAGAGUUGAGUUGUUUGGGAAUGCAGCUCUAAAUGGGUGGUAAAUUCCAUCUAAAGCUAAAUAUGGGCGAGAGACCGAUAGCGAACAAGUACCGUGAGGGAAAGAUGAAAAGAACUUUGGAAAGAGAGUUAAACAGUAUGUGAAAUUGUUGAAAGGGAAACGUUUGAAGUCAGUGAUAUUGGUCAGGGAUCAAGCCGGCAUACUCAUUUGCUUGGGUGUAGUUCCUGGUUGAUAGGUCAACAUCAGUUCUGACUGCUGGAGAAGGGCUAGCGGAAAGUGGCACCCUUUUUGGGUGUGUUUAUAGCUGUUAGUCAUAUACAGCAGUUGGGACUGAGGAAAGCAGCGUGCCAUUUAGGCAGGGUUUCGACCACAUUCGCGCUUAGGAUGUUGGCAUAUAAUGGCUUUAAGCGAC